Molecule: ribosomal RNA, 442 nt
Filed under: uncultured bacterium
Lineage: Bacteria
Description: partial 16S ribosomal RNA
Rfam family: Bacterial small subunit ribosomal RNA
Source: RNAcentral
CCUACGGGAGGCAGCAGUAGGGAAUCUUUCACAAUGGGCGAAAGCCUGAUGGAGCAACGCCGCGUGCAGGAUGAAGGCCUUCGGGUUGUAAACUGCUUUUAUAAGCGAGAAAUAUGAUGGUAACUUAUGAAUAAGGAUCGGCUAACUACGUGCCAGCAGCCGCGGUCAUACGUAGGAUCCGAGCAUUAUCCGGAGGGACUGGGUGUAAAGAGUUGCGUAGGUGGCAUAAUAAGUAGCUAGUGAAAUCUGGUGGCUCAACCAUUCAGACUAUUAGCUAAACUGUUAAGCUCGAGACCGUUAGGGGUAACUGGAAUUUCUAGUGUAGGAGUGAAAUCCGUAGAUAUUAGAAGGAACACCAAUAGCGUAGGCAGGUUGCUGGGACGGUUCUGACACUAAGGCACGAAAGCGUAGGGAGCAAACGGGAUUAGAUACCCCAGUAGUC